UACGGGAGGCAGCAGUGGGGAAUUUUGGACAAUGGGCGCAAGCCCUGAUCCAGCAAUGCCGCGUGUGUGAAGAAGGCCUUCGGGUUGUAAAGCACUUUUUGUCCGGAAAGAAAACCCCGGUCCUAAUACGGCGGGGGGAUGACGGUACCGGAAGAAUAAGCACCGGCUAACUACGUGCCAGCAGCCGCGGUAAUACGUAGGGUGCGAGCGUUAAUCGGAAUUACUGGGCGUAAAGCGUGCGCAGGCGGUCCGUUAAGACAGAUGUGAAAUCCCCGGGCUUAACCUGGGAACUGCAUUUGUGACUGGCGGGCUAGAGUAUGGCAGAGGGGGGUAGAAUUCCACGUGUAGCAGUGAAAUGCGUAGAGAUGUGGAGGAAUACCGAUGGCGAAGGCAGCCCCCUGGGCCAAUACUGACGCUCAUGCACGAAAGCGUGGGGAGCAAACAGGAUUAGAUACCCUGGUAGUCCACGCCCUAAACGAUGUCAACUAGUUGUCGGGUCUUCAUUGACUUGGUAACGUAGCUAACGCGUGAAGUUGACCGCCUGGGGAGUACGGUCGCAAGAUUAAAACUCAAAGGAAUUGACGGGGACCCGCACAAGCGGUGGAUGAUGUGGAUUAAUUCGAUGCAACGCGAAAAACCUUACCUACCCUUGACAUGGACGGAACCUGGCUGAAAGGCCGGGGUGCUCGAAAGAGAACC
This 699-nucleotide ribosomal RNA is filed under the name Paraburkholderia sp. RNAcentral describes it as "bacterial SSU rRNA". It matches the Rfam family "Bacterial small subunit ribosomal RNA", at positions 340 to 1028 of the family's 1533-position model. Lineage: Bacteria; Pseudomonadati; Pseudomonadota; Betaproteobacteria; Burkholderiales; Burkholderiaceae. The record is from RNAcentral.